GUCCCAAGAGAUCGGGAUAACACCUGGAAACAGAUGCUAAUACCGGAUAACAACAGAUGAUGCCUAUCAACUGUUUAAAAGAUGGUUCUGCUAUCACUCUUGGAUGGACCUGCGGUGCAUUAGCUAGUUGGUAGGGUAACGGCCUACCAAGGCGAUGAUGCAUAGCCGAGUUGAGAGACUGAUCGGCCACAUUGGGACUGAGACACGGCCCAAACUCCUACGGGAGGCAGCAGNU
RNAcentral lists this ribosomal RNA (235 nucleotides) under uncultured Lactobacillus sp. Its description in RNAcentral is "partial 16S ribosomal RNA". It matches the Rfam family "Bacterial small subunit ribosomal RNA", at positions 127 to 354 of the family's 1533-position model. The record is from RNAcentral. Lineage: Bacteria; Bacillati; Bacillota; Bacilli; Lactobacillales; Lactobacillaceae.